AUUGAACGCUGGCGGCAGGCCUAACACAUGCAAGUCGAGCGGCAGCACGGGGAGCUUGCUCCCUGGUGGCGAGCGGCGGACGGGUGAGUAAUGCAUAGGAAUCUGCCCGGUAGUGGGGGAUAACCUGGGGAAACCCAGGCUAAUACCGCAUACGUCCUACGGGAGAAAGCAGGGGCUCUUCGGACCUUGCGCUAUCGGAUGAGCCUAUGUCGGAUUAGCUGGUUGGUGAGGUAAUGGCUCACCAAGGCGACGAUCCGUAGCUGGUCUGAGAGGAUGAUCAGCCACACUGGGACUGAGACACGGCCCAGACUCCUACGGGAGGCAGCAGUGGGGAAUAUUGGACAAUGGGCGCAAGCCUGAUCCAGCCAUGCCGCGUGUGUGAAGAAGGCCCUCGGGUUGUAAAGCACUUUCAGCGAGGAAGAAGGCUUGGCGGCUAAUAUCCGUCAAGAAGGACAUCACUCGCAGAAGAAGCACCGGCUAACUCCGUGCCAGCCGCCGCAGUAAAAC
Molecule: ribosomal RNA, 507 nt
Filed under: uncultured bacterium
Lineage: Bacteria
Description: bacterial SSU rRNA
Rfam family: Bacterial small subunit ribosomal RNA
Source: RNAcentral